UUAUGGCUCAGGACGAACGCUGGCGGCACGCUUAACACAUGCAAGUCGAACGGAGAAUAUUGGUUACUGAGUAUUCUAGUGGCGGACGGGUGAGUAACACGUGAGCAACCUGCCUUUGAGAGAGGGAUAGCUUCUGGAAACGGAUGGUAAUACCUCAUAAUGUAGUUUUACCGCAUGAUGGAACUACCAAAGAUUUAUCACUCAAAGAUGGGCUCGCGUCUGAUUAGAUAGUUGGUGAGGUAACGGCUCACCAAGUCGACGAUCAGUAGCCGGACUGAGAGGUUGAACGGCCACAUUGGGACUGAGACACGGCCCAGACUCCUACGGGAGGCAGCAGUGGGGAAUAUUGCACAAUGGGGGAAACCCUGAUGCAGCGAUGCCGCGUGAAGGAAGAAGGUUUUCGGAUUGUAAACUCCUGUCUUAAAGGACGAUAAUGACGGUACUUUAGGAGGAAGCUCCGGCUAACUACGUGCCAGCCGCAGC
RNAcentral lists this ribosomal RNA (483 nucleotides) under uncultured bacterium. Its description in RNAcentral is "bacterial SSU rRNA". It matches the Rfam family "Bacterial small subunit ribosomal RNA", at positions 17 to 518 of the family's 1533-position model. The record is from RNAcentral.